AUCACCUGGGGAUUUUGUUAAAAGGCAGAUUCUGAUUCAGUAGAUCCACAGUGAGUCCUGAGAUUCUGCAUUUCUAACAAACUCUAGGGGAUACCAG
This 97-nucleotide microRNA precursor is filed under the name Canis lupus familiaris (dog). RNAcentral's name for it is "mir-544 microRNA precursor family". It matches the Rfam family "mir-544 microRNA precursor family". The record is from Rfam by way of RNAcentral. RNAcentral also lists the same sequence under 1 other name. Lineage: Eukaryota; Metazoa; Chordata; Mammalia; Carnivora; Canidae.